This 1964-nucleotide long non-coding RNA is filed under the name Dermacentor andersoni. Its description in RNAcentral is "uncharacterized LOC126539314". Lineage: Eukaryota; Metazoa; Arthropoda; Arachnida; Ixodida; Ixodidae. The record is from RNAcentral.
GUCCUUUCUUCUUUCUUUCUUUUUUUUUGCAAUUUCCAAUAGGAUCAAUAGUAGGGCGAGGUGGUACGGCAACAUACUUCUGUUGCAGCGCGAAAGGACGAAGACGUGUAUAGACGAGAUGCAGAGGGCGAGCGCUGGCGAUCAUUGGAAAGGUGAAUACGGCCACACAUAGAAGGGCCCUGCGCACAAGAAAUGGAAAUGUGCGCCCUCUUUUUUCGCCUGCUUUUCAUCACAUUAGCUCUCGCCUGGUGAACGUGAAGACAAGAAACUGUAAUUGACCGCCGACAGAAAGAUCUCCUAGCAGUCCAGGGUAUCGCAAUGACACCGCGGAUGUUAUUGUUUAAAAUGUGUUCUUCAAAUGAAUGCGUCUAUAAAUGGAAAGCCCACGGAAAAUCGCAUGGUAGCGACGAUCUCGUGCGCGGCCCUGUAUGAGGAGUGCGCCAGCAUAACGUUAAAGAAAUCAAACAAUGGUAUUCAGUGCCGCAAUUUAACAGACCAGCAAUGAGGGACACCGUAGCGGCGGGGGGCCUGCGUAUAAAAUUCGACAAUCUGACGUUCUUUGACAUGCACCUAAGCUUUAGUACACGAACGUUUCCGUGUUCACUCGCAUCGUAAUACGGCCUCCGCGGCAUGGAAUCGAACCUGGGACUGGUAGUAUCGACCGGUAGCAUCACGUUUUCGAAUGAAGGAUCAAAGCUCAAGGAGGGUAGUGCUGAACAAAAUUUGAUCUCCAUAUGGCCUGAUAUGGCGUUUAACAUGACGUCUGUCGCUACUUAGUGUACCCACACCGGAACGUGUGCAUUCCCGCAUUUCGGACCCACUCCUUCUCUCAAGAAAACGCAACGGCUGUCAUCGCCACGCCGUACCCAGCUUUCUAAAAUGCGAUGUGAGCUACGCAAUGUAUGCGCAACACUUCCCAGUGUAGAACUCCCAAUCUGACACGUAGUUUUCCACCAUACGUUUGUUCCACAGUAAAUUAUGGAAUGCACAGGGCAUAGUCGUGCCUAUUCAAGGCGACGUUGUGCUCAUAUAUGGCAAGCCACGGAGUGUCGAAUAGUUAUGUUUACAGCGCAGCUUAAGGCAUCCUUUGCUGCCUCGACUGUUUGUCUUCAGCUUCUUUUUAGUUUUAUUUUUGAAUGCGCAAGAUAAAGCGACACACGUGGCCCUGUAUCGAGGACAGCAAUCGGGAGGGAAAAAGAAAAGACACGCGAUACGUAAAGAAACGCGCUUAAAACGUCCGCGCAAGCGAGUAGUAAUUGGCAAACGUCGCGACACACUCACUUAUCUCGCAUUUACGACGGGCACGAGUGUUUUAUUUUGAUUUUUCUUGCUUUUUCGUGCCUCGUGCGACUCGGUGACCCCUACCGGCUGACGGGAACGCUUUCUCUUCCGUAAUCUCGCACGUGAGAGAUAACGGACCCACCUGACCUCGCGCGCCGACGAAUUCCGAUAGAGCGCACGCAGGACAGAACACCGGCGCCGCCGGUCUCGAGAGAAGCCAGCGAACGACCAAGGGCAAACACCGGCACUUCAUUUAGAGCGCACAUCUCUCUUCGCUUGGCGUCGACUCGGCCUCCUGAUCUCCGCGAUUCCGCUGGAGCUGAGGAUACAAACAUUCCGUGGAGUUCUUGUCAACGUCGUUGCCGAUAAAACGGGAUUUAAGCAAAGCCCUGCUGAAGUGACUUUUCUCCGAGGUCAACUGGUCUUACUGAAGGUUUCGACAAAACACAGCCAUCUCACCAAAGAACACUCGAGGGCGUCCACAGCUAUAGCAGACUUCACGUCUACUAAUGGAGAUGCAACCCUCGCUUGAUCAACGACUAUGUGGCACAGCUCAGGUGACUGUCCUAGAUUCGGUCGCAGAAUACCAUGCGGUAAUGGUUUAGGGAUACUUCACAUUAUCUUCGAGCGUAAACCCAGUAAACGAGCGAGAACAUCUAGGUCAGCCGGAGUUCUCACUAAAG